AUUCUGAUAGCUCAGUUGGUAGAGAAAGAGACUCUUAAUCUCAGGUUGUGCGUUCACAACCAUGUUGGAAAA
Non-coding RNA from Podarcis lilfordi (Lilford's wall lizard), 72 nucleotides. NCBI's taxonomy places the organism in Eukaryota, Metazoa, Chordata, Lepidosauria, Squamata, Lacertidae. The record is from the annotation of a GenBank genome assembly.